This 311-nucleotide long non-coding RNA is filed under the name Hordeum vulgare. RNAcentral describes it as "long non-coding RNA (HVUL_LNC007341)". Lineage: Eukaryota; Viridiplantae; Streptophyta; Magnoliopsida; Poales; Poaceae. The record is from RNAcentral.
UCGGGGCGUCGUGUGGGGGUUUCGGGGCAUCGUGUCGGGUGUCAGGGUUUUGUUUUCUUCUUCAUCUUCUUUUUUUCAUCUUCUUCUGUUUCGUCUUCUUCUUCUUCCUUCCUUCCUUUUUUUCUUCUUCUACUUAUUCUUAUUCUUCUUCUUCUUCUUCUUCUUCUUCUUCUUCUUCUUCUCUUCUUCUUUUUCUUCUUCUUCUUCUUAUUCCUUCUUUUCCUUUUUCCUCUUCUUCUUCUUCUUCUUCUUCUUCCUUCUUUUCCUUUUUCCUCUUCUUCUUUUCCAUUUGUGCGAGAAAGAUAGCCUUG